AUAUGGGCCAGUGAUAGACAGGUGUAUAUAAUAUGGGCCAGUGAUAGACAGGUGCAUAUAAUAUGGCCCAGUGAUAGACAGGUGUAUAUAAUAUGGGCCAGUGAUAGACAGGUGUAUAUAAUAUGGGAUACUGCAGACAGGUGUAUAUAAUAUGGGCCAGUGAUAGACAGGUGUAUAUAAUAUGGGAUACUGCAGACAGGUGUAUAUAAUAUGGGCCAGUGAUAGACAGGUGUAUAUAAUAUGGGGUAGUGCAGACGGGUGUAUAUAAUAUGGGCCAGUGAUAGACAGGUGUAUAUAAUAUGGGCCAGUGAUAGACAGGUGUAUAUAAUAUGGGCCAGUGAUAGACAGGUGUAUAUAAUAUGGGGUAGUGCAGACGGGUGUAUAUAAUAUGGGCCAGUGAUAGACAGGUGUAUAUAAUAUGGGCCAGUGAUAGACAGGUGCAUAUAAUAUGGGCCAGUGAUAGACAGGUGUAUAUAAUAUGGGCCAGUGAUAGACAGGUGUA
Long non-coding RNA from Xenopus laevis (African clawed frog), 502 nucleotides. RefSeq lists it as uncharacterized. NCBI's taxonomy places the organism in Eukaryota, Metazoa, Chordata, Amphibia, Anura, Pipidae. The record is from RefSeq and is a predicted model, not a curated record. The transcript has 2 exons.